RNAcentral lists this long non-coding RNA (1453 nucleotides) under Phasianus colchicus (ring-necked pheasant). RNAcentral describes it as "lncRNA (ENSPCLG00000016533.1)". The record is from RNAcentral. Lineage: Eukaryota; Metazoa; Chordata; Aves; Galliformes; Phasianidae.
GGGGGACACUGGGAGGGACUGGGUGAGAAAUGGGGGAUACUGGGAGGGACUGGGUGGGAAAUGGGGGGGACUGGGAGCUACUGGGAAGGAAGGGGGUGGACCUGAAGAGUCUGGGAGGGAGCUGGAGAGAGCGUUACUGGUCUGAACUGGGAGUUACUGGUCGGUAGUGGGGGUUACUGGUCCAUACUGGGGGCUACUGGUCCAUACUGGUCCAUACUGGUCUCUCCCCCCCCAGUGCCCCCAGCCAAUCCAGUGCUGGAGCUGCCCGAGGGGGCGGAGCUUCCAUGGCGAGAGGGGGUGGAGCUGGAGGUGCGGUGCCGAGUGGGCGGGGCCAGGCCGGCAGCCAAUCUGCGGCUGGAAUUGGGGGGGGAGGCGCUGCCUGAGGUCUCAUCCCACGUCACUGAGGAUGACAGCGACCCCCGGCUGAGCACCACAAAGGUCACAGUCCGGUGAGCACCAGUAUACACCAGUAUACACCAGUAUACACCAGUGUAGAUGAGUACAGACCAAUACAAACCAGUAUAAACCAGUAUAGAUGAGUAUAGAUCAAUACAAACCAGUGUAGACCAGCAUAAACCAGUAUAGAUGAGCACAGAUCAGAGUAGACCAGUAUAGACCAGUAUGGAUGAGAACAGACCAGUAUAGACCAGUAUAAAUGAGUUCAGACCAGUAUAGAUGAGUAUAGAUCAAUGCAAACCAGUGUAGACCAGUAUAACCCAGUAUAGAUGAGAACAGACCAGUAUAGACCAGUAUAGACCAGUAUGGAUGAGAACAGACCAGUAUAGACCAGUAUAGAGGUGUUUAGACCAGUACAGAUGAGUAUAGACCAAUGCAAACCAGUGUAGACCAGUAUAAACCAGUAUAGAUGAGCACAGAUCAGAGUAGACCAUUAUAGACCAGUAUGGAUGAGAACAGACCAGUAUGGACCAGUAUAAAUGAGUUUAGACCAGUAUAGAUGAGUAUAGACCAGUACAAACCAGUGUAGACCAGUAUAAACCAGUAUAGAUGAGCACAGAUCAGAACAGACCAGUGUAGACCAGUAUGGAUGAGAACAGACCAGUAUAAACCAGUAUAGAGGUGUUUAGACCCGUAUAGAUGAGUAUAGACCAAUGCAAACCAGUAUAAACCAGUAUAGACCAGUAUAGAUGAGCACAGAUCAAAACAGACCAGUGCAGACCAGUAUAUACCAGUACAGACCAGUAUAGGUCUCUACAGACCACUGUGCACCAGUGCAGAGCAGCACAGACCAGUAUGGACCAGUAUGCACCAACUGACCAGUAUGGUCCAGUACAGACCAGUACAGCCCACUGUCACCCAGUAUGAGACAAUCUGAACCAGUAUGGCCCAGCCUGGCCCAUCCCAGUCCAUCCCAGUUCCUCCCAGUUGACCCCAGUCCCUCUCAGUCCCAUCCCAUCCCAGUCUCUCCCAGUUGAUCCCAGUCCCCCCCAGUCCC